RNAcentral lists this non-coding RNA (219 nucleotides) under Hyphomicrobium denitrificans. The record is from RNAcentral. Lineage: Bacteria; Pseudomonadati; Pseudomonadota; Alphaproteobacteria; Hyphomicrobiales; Hyphomicrobiaceae. RNAcentral also lists the same sequence under 1 other name.
UGGAAUGCGCGAUGUGACGGUGCUCUGAUCGGUGCAAGCCGGUACGAGCUAAGAGGGAACACGGUAAGACGUAAGUCGAUGCCGUGGCUGCGCCCGCAACUGUAAACGGCAAGUCGUCUCCACAUUACGCCACUGAUAUUCCGCAUCGGAAAAUUGGGAAGGCAGGAGACAGACGUUCGAGCCGUGAGCCAGGAGACCUGCCGACACAAGUCGCCCAUC